AUUGAACGCUGGCGGAAUGCUUUACACAUGCAAGUUGAACGGCAGCACGGACUUCGGUCUGGUGGCGAGUGGCGUACGGGUGAGUAACGUAUCGGAACGCGUCCAGCCGUGGGGGAUAAAGUAGGGCAUAUUACGCUAAUACCGAAUAUGAUCUACGGACGAAAGCGGGGGAUCGAAAGAAGUAGCCCGAGUGGCGUGGCCUAUAUCCGAUUAGGUAGUUGGUGGGGUAAAGGCCCACCAAGACAACGAUCUGUAGCUGGUCUGAGAGGACGACCAGCCACACUGGAACUGAGACACGGUCCAGACUCCUACGGGAGGCAGCAGUGGGGAAUUUUGGACAAUGGGCGAAAGCCUGAUCCAGCCAUUCCGCGUGCAGGAUGAAGGCCCUCGUGUUGUAAACUGCUUUUGUACAGAACGAAAAGGUUUCUACUAAUACUAGGAGCUCAUGACGGGACUGUAAGAAUAAGCACCGGCUAACUACGUGCCAGCCGCCGCCGUAA
Molecule: ribosomal RNA, 500 nt
Filed under: uncultured bacterium
Lineage: Bacteria
Description: partial 16S ribosomal RNA
Rfam family: Bacterial small subunit ribosomal RNA
Source: RNAcentral